This 231-nucleotide unclassified non-coding RNA is filed under the name plant metagenome. RNAcentral's name for it is "partial contains small subunit ribosomal RNA, internal transcribed spacer 1, and 5.8S ribosomal RNA". The record is from RNAcentral.
UCUCCGUUGGUGAACCAGCGGAGGGAUCAUUACUGAGUUACCGCUCUACAACCCUUUGUGAACAUACCUAACUGUUGCUUCAGCGGGCAGAGGUCCCUCGCGGAUCUCUCCCGGCAACGCCCUCACGGGCGGAGCGCCCGCCGGAGGAUACCAAACUCUAUUUUAACGACGUUUCUUCUGAGUGGCACAAGCAAAUAAUUAAAACUUUUAACAACGGAUCUCUUGGUUCUG